RNAcentral lists this ribosomal RNA (651 nucleotides) under Limosilactobacillus vaginalis. Its description in RNAcentral is "bacterial SSU rRNA". It matches the Rfam family "Bacterial small subunit ribosomal RNA", at positions 63 to 683 of the family's 1533-position model. Lineage: Bacteria; Bacillati; Bacillota; Bacilli; Lactobacillales; Lactobacillaceae. The record is from RNAcentral.
CAACUGAUAUGACGUGCUUGCACUGAAUUGACGUUGGAUUACCAGUGAGCGGCGGACGGGUGAGUAACACGUGGGCAACCUGCCCUGAAGCGGGGGAUAACAUCUGGAAACAGGUGCUAAUACCGCAUAACAACGAAAACCACAUGGUUUUCGUUUCAAAGAUGGUUUCGGCUAUCACUUCAGGAUGGGCCCGCGGUGCAUUAGCUAGUUGGUAAGGUAACGGCUUACCAAGGCAAUGAUGCAUAGCCGAGUUGAGAGACUGAUCGGCCACAAUGGAACUGAGACACGGUCCAUACUCCUACGGGAGGCAGCAGUAGGGAAUCUUCCACAAUGGGCGCAAGCCUGAUGGAGCAACACCGCGUGAGUGAAGAAGGGUUUCGGCUCGUAAAGCUCUGUUGUUGGAGAAGAACGUGCGUGAGAGUAACUGUUCACGCAGUGACGGUAUCCAACCAGAAAGUCACGGCUAACUACGUGCCAGCAGCCGCGGUAAUACGUAGGUGGCAAGCGUUAUCCGGAUUUAUUGGGCGUAAAGCGAGCGCAGGCGGUUGCUUAGGUCUGAUGUGAAAGCCUUCGGCUUAACCGAAGAAGGGCAUCGGAAACCGGGCGACUUGAGUGCAGAAGAGGACAGUGGAACUCAUGGGUAUAACGGGG